Molecule: ribosomal RNA, 433 nt
Filed under: uncultured bacterium
Lineage: Bacteria
Description: partial 16S ribosomal RNA
Rfam family: Bacterial small subunit ribosomal RNA
Source: RNAcentral
AACGAACGCUGGCGGCAUGCCUAACACAUGCAAGUCGAACGAGACCUUCGGGUCUAGUGGCGCACGGGUGCGUAACGCGUGGGAACCUGCCCUUAGGUUCGGAAUAACUCCCCGAAAGGGGUGCUAAUACCGGAUAAUGUCUUCGGACCAAAGAUUUAUCGCCUUUGGAUGGGCCCGCGUUGGAUUAGCUAGUUGGUAGGGUAAAAGCCUACCAAGGCGACGAUCCAUAGCUGGUCUGAGAGGAUGAUCAGCCACACUGGGACUGAGACACGGCCCAGACUCUUACGGGAGGCAGCAGUGGGGAAUAUUGGACAAUGGGCGAAAGCCUGAUCCAGCAAUGCCGCGUGAGUGAUGAAGGCCUUAGGGUUGUAAAGCUCUUUUACCCGGGAUGAUAAUGACAGUACCGGGAGAAUAAGCGCCGGCUAACUACGUG